AGAGCAGGCUGGGUGAUCGCUGGUUGCCUUCGGGCAACGAGAGGAAAGUCCGAACACCACAGGACAGCAGGCUGGUUAACGACCAGGCGGGGCGACCCGACGGAAUAGUGCAACAGAGAAUAGACAGCCCUAAGCGUGUAAGCGCCGGGCGAUGGUGAAACGGUGAGGUAAAGGCUUCACCAGCAACGGUGGCGACAUCGUUGGCUAGGCAAACCCCCUGCGGUGCAAGACCAAAUAGGGAAACGUUAUUGAAAGCUGUCCGCUUCAGUUCACGCUUCGGCGUGACGCGUUUUCGGGUAGGUUGCUUGAGCGACGGAGUAAUUCGUCGCCUAGAUGAAUGAUCGCCGCCCGCGCCAUUGAGAAAUCAGUCAGUGGGUACAGGAUUCGGCUUACAGGCUCGCUCUGAGA
This 408-nucleotide RNase P RNA is filed under the name Acidobacteriota bacterium. Its description in RNAcentral is "Acidobacteria bacterium (activated sludge metagenome) RNase P RNA component class A". It matches the Rfam family "Bacterial RNase P class A". From Rfam's summary of the family: Ribonuclease P (RNase P) is a ubiquitous endoribonuclease, found in archaea, bacteria and eukarya as well as chloroplasts and mitochondria. Its best characterised activity is the generation of mature 5'-ends of tRNAs by cleaving the 5'-leader elements of precursor-tRNAs. Cellular RNase Ps are ribonucleoproteins. Lineage: Bacteria; Pseudomonadati; Acidobacteriota. The record is from RNAcentral.